UACAGAGGGGGCAAGCGUUGUUCGGAAUUACUGGGCGUAAAGGGCGCGUAGGCGGCCUGUUAAGUCGAACGUGAAAUCCCCGGGCUCAACCCGGGAACUGCGUCCGAUACUGGCAGGCUUGAAUCCGGGAGAGGGAUGUGGAAUUCCAGGUGUAGCGGUGGAAUGCGUAGAUAUCUGGAGGAACACCGGUGGCGAAGGCGACAUCCUGGACCGGUAUUGACGCUGAGGCGCGAAAGCCAGGGGAGCAAACGGG
This 253-nucleotide ribosomal RNA is filed under the name uncultured bacterium. Its description in RNAcentral is "partial 16S ribosomal RNA". It matches the Rfam family "Bacterial small subunit ribosomal RNA", at positions 524 to 776 of the family's 1533-position model. The record is from RNAcentral.